This 605-nucleotide ribosomal RNA is filed under the name uncultured bacterium. RNAcentral describes it as "bacterial SSU rRNA". It matches the Rfam family "Bacterial small subunit ribosomal RNA", at positions 888 to 1498 of the family's 1533-position model. The record is from RNAcentral.
GCAAGAUUAAAACUCAAAGGAAUAGACGGGGACCCGCACAAGUGGUGGAGCAUGUGGUUUAAUUCGAAGAUACGCGAAGAACCUUACCUAGCCUUGACAUUGAUAGAAUCCCGCAGAGAUGUAGGAGUGCCCUUCGGGGAGCUUGAAAACAGGUGCUGCACGGCUGUCGUCAGCUCGUGUCGUGAGAUGUUGGGUUAAGUCCCGCAACGAGCGCAACCCUCGUGAUUAGUUACUAACGGUUCGGCCGAGGACUCUAAUCAGACUGCCUCCGCAAGGAGGAGGAAGGUGAGGACGACGUCAAGUCAUCAUGGCCCUUACGGCUAGGGCAACACACGUGCUACAAUGGUUAGGACAGUGAGAUGCGAUACCGCGAGGUGGAGCAAAUCUAUAAACCUAAUCUCAGUUCGGAUAGCAGUCUGCAACUCGACUGCUUGAAGCUGGAAUCACUAGUAAUCGUAGAUCAGCUAUGCUACGGUGAAUACGUUCCCGGGUCUUGUACUCACCGCCCGUCACACCAUGGGAGUUGAUAUCACCCGAAGCGGGGAAGCUAAACUGGCUACCCUCCACGGUGGUAUUAGCGACUGGGGUGAAGUCGUAACAAGGUA